GGGUCACUCGCAGCGGGUGGUCCUGGAACUCCGAGUAGGUGCGCUGGCAUACAUAUGUUUAUAGGUGGUAUAGGAUUCCAGACGGUUGCGUAACUGCUAGCCGGGUAGGGUAUAAGAGGCAUAGUGAAACGUUUCUGAUCACAGUUGAUUCUUUCUCUGUUGGUGGUAAACAGCAUUUUAUCAAUACAGUGUUGGCUAUUUGGAACCUUAUAGAAUAUUGUGUAUCCGAGGAACCUUUUGCAAGAGAAGACUGACUUUGUCCACUGACUUUGUCUGAUGUGUGAGUGACAGAACAUUUUGCUGUUUGUUUAUUUGAGGAGAGCUGAUUGAAUGAGUAGACAGCGUUGUGAUUCUUGAACCUGCAUCUGUGGUUUCUUUGAGUACUUCCAAAAGGAGCAGGUGCAAUUGCUGUUUGUGUCCUGGCUUAUGGCAGUGUCAGCAUUUUGCCUGGUGGAAGAAGCAGAGUUCGCAAUCUUGCAUUACAUAGCACUUAACACAAGACAACAGAGAACAUGAACUUGCAGACAAACAGGCUGGCCCCUUUAUGUACUCCUUACACUCCUGCAUAUAACUGUUGUCAACAUGUGCCACGCAGGAAUGGGCCCACUUUGGACUAUCAGCAUUUCUGAUAGACAAGAGACACUAUACCAUCCAAUGAGUGAGUGUUGUGGCACAUUGGUCAGAGCUCUGGACUUACAUUCAGGACCAUCUAGUGAGAUAUAAAUAUUUCAUGACUUUUACGAACUCAGUGAUGUGAAAUGAGAGAGUGAUGUGAAAUGAGAGGGUGAUUUCUUUGAGAAGAACACAUCCAAUUUUCUUCCCCAAUCAGAUUGAGGACUCUGUCUUUGGUGCCUUUCUACCCAGUGGGCUGUUCAACCUCAAUCUUCUUCGAACCCUGUACCUGCUAUCACAUUCGUCAGUUUGCAAUAAUGAGAAUCCACCCAUAUAUGUUCUAUGUUUUGAAGCUAACAUUUGCAUUUAGUUUUAUAGUUGCUCAGCCUAAUAGUAAAAAAAAAAAAGACACCAGCAACCAUACAAAUAGAAAAAGCAGAAGUAGUACAUUUCCAUUAAUGUGUGUGUAAUUAUCUAUUAAAGAUGCAGACAUGAAGUUGUUACUGUUACGUAUGCAGAUGGCAUAAGUAUUUUUCAUUCUGUGCUCUUCCACAGUUGUGUCAUUAUAACUUGCCAGGAAAGAAACCUGGUUGUCGUCAUAGUUCUUGGCUGAAAAGUAAUGGGACAAACUCUAACUGGUGCUUGAUUGGAUGUAAACUUUCAGGUAUAGAGAGUCCUGCAUCAUAGAGUAUAAGAAGCAGGCAUUUUGACUUGAGUGAACAGUAGUCAACACUCCAAAUUAUCUGUUAAAUUUCCUGCCACAUCCCAGUUUGCUGAACUGAUACAUUUUCUAUUAUAAUGAAUCUUGUAUUUAUUUCAAAGUCUCACCUUUUUCCUUGGGUCAUAGGUAUGGCAGCUUUCAAACAUUUUAUGUUCCUCUUUCUGAAACAUUCUUCACCUAAAUCAUAGUGAGUCUGAAAUUUCGAUACAGUAUGCACUUGUCCCAGAGAAAUAUACUUUACAUGAAAUAAACAUGUUCAGUUGCUUUAUCACUAUUAUACUAUCUUAAAUCUCAAGUGCUAGAUAAAAGCCAUAAUUUUGGUUUUGUCACUUGUGUGAGGGUUUCAGUUACAGGUAAAAGCAAAAUAUUUAUCAGCCUAUACCCAUGAGGGUUAAAGUGCUGCCUAAUUUUUUUACAUAAUAGAGUGUCACAAGGAUUGCCAUUUGUUUUAAAUUUCACACACUGUUAUGCUACAAUCAGUCUCUCUGCAGUUGACACAGGAGGCCUACCUCAAAAUCUCUGUCAGCCUUUCAGGCAUCUUUCAGUUUUAAAGACAUGUUGAUUUUCUUGUCUGUAUAAAAUGAACAAUAUAAUGAGCAUUUUUAUAACA
Molecule: long non-coding RNA, 1943 nt
Filed under: Schistocerca americana (American grasshopper)
Lineage: Eukaryota; Metazoa; Arthropoda; Insecta; Orthoptera; Acrididae
Description: uncharacterized LOC124591680
Source: RNAcentral